GACGAACGCUGGCGGCGCGCUUAACACAUGCAAGUCGUGCGGUACCGAUGGCAAGUCUUCUUGACGAGCCUUCGGUAUAGCGGCGGACGGGUGAGUAACACGUGAGUAGCUGUCCUAGGGAGGGGGAUAACGCCUGGAAACGGGUGCUAAAACCCCAUAAGCCUCGAAAGAGGUAAAAGUGCAUCACUGCAGUCCUAGGGUGUGCUCGCGGCCUAUCAGCUAGUUGGUGAGGUAAGGGCUCACCAAGGCCAAGACGGGUAGCCGGCCUGAGAGGGUGUACGGCCACACUGGGACUGAGGCACGGCCCAGACUCCUACGGGGGCAGCAGUAGGGAAUCUUCGGCAAUGGGCGGAAGCCUGACCGAGCGACGCCGCGUGAGGGACGAAGGCCUUCGGGUUGUAAACCUCUGUCUGGGGGACGAGUAAGGACGGUACCCCGGAGGAAGCCCGGCUAACUACGUG
Molecule: ribosomal RNA, 461 nt
Filed under: uncultured bacterium
Lineage: Bacteria
Description: bacterial SSU rRNA
Rfam family: Bacterial small subunit ribosomal RNA
Source: RNAcentral